GACGAACGCUGGCGGCGCGCUUAACACAUGCAAGUCGAGCGAGAACCAGACCUUCGGGUCUGGGGACAGCGGCGAACGGGUGAGUAACACGUGGGUAAUCAACCCUCGGUACUGGGAUAGCCCGGGGAAACCCGGAUUAAUACCGGAUGGCCCUUCGGAUCUUCGGUUCCGAAGGAAAAGGUAGCUUCGGCCUCCGACCGAGGACGAGCCUGCGGCGGAUUAGCUUGUUGGUGGGGUAACGGCCUACCAAGGCGGCGAUCCGUAGCUGGUCUGAGAGGACGAUCAGCCACACUGGGACUGAGACACGGCCCAGACUUCUACGGAAGGCAGCAGUGGGGAAUCUUGCGCUAAUGCGGGAAACCGUGACGCAGCGACGCCGCGUGAGGGAAGAAGGCCUUCGGGUUGUAAACCUCUUUCAGAAGGGACGAAGCUACUCGGGUUAAUAGCCCAGAGGGUGACGGUACCUUCAGAAGAAGCCCCGGCUAACUACGUGCCAGCAGCCGCAGUAA
Molecule: ribosomal RNA, 509 nt
Filed under: uncultured bacterium
Lineage: Bacteria
Description: partial 16S ribosomal RNA
Rfam family: Bacterial small subunit ribosomal RNA
Source: RNAcentral